AGAGUUUGAUCCUGGCUCAGGAUGAACGCUGGCGGCGUGCUUAACACAUGCAAGUCGAACGGACGCUUGGGGUAACUUGAGCGUUAGUGGCAAACGGGUGAGUAACACGUGGGUGACCUACCUCAAAGUGGGGAACAACAGACCGAAAGGUUUGCUAAUACCGCAUAUGCUCGGUGAUUCAUUUUGCCGAGUAAAGCCGUAAGGCGCUUUGAGAGGGACCCGCGUCCCAUCAGGUAGUUGGUGAGGUAAUGGCCCACCAAGCCGAUGACGGGUAGCUGUUCUGAGAGGAAGAUCAGCCACAAUGGAACUGAGACACGGUCCAUACUCCUACGGGAGGCAGCAGUGAGGAAUAUUGCACAAUGGACGAAAGUCUGAUGCAGCGACGCCGCGUGGGCGACGAAGGCCUUCGGGUUGUAAAGCCCUUUUGGCAGGGACGAGUGAGGACGGUACCUGUCGAAUAAGUCUCGGCUAACUACGUGCCAGCAGCCGCGGUAAAACGUAGGAGGCGAGCGUUAUCCGGAUUUACUGGGCGUAAAGCGUGCGUAGGCGGUUGGUCAAGUCAGAUGUUAAAGCCCCUGGCUCAACUGGGGGAGGUCAUUUGAUACUGGCCGGCUUGAGGGUGAGAGAGGAGAGUGGAAUUCCCGGUGUAGCGGUGGAAUGCGUAGAGAUCGGGAGGAACACCAGUGGCGAAAGCGGCUCUCUGGCUCACUUCUGACGCUGAGUGCACGAAAGCGUGGGGAGCAAACGGGAUUAGAUACCCUGGUAGUCC
Molecule: ribosomal RNA, 769 nt
Filed under: uncultured bacterium
Lineage: Bacteria
Description: bacterial SSU rRNA
Rfam family: Bacterial small subunit ribosomal RNA
Source: RNAcentral